UAUAUUUAUUGUUAUUGAAAGUAAGUUUAGUGCUUUUUUACAUCUCUCUUAUUUAUUGUAGAAGUAAGUGAGCAGGAUCCAUGGACAGCAGGUCAUCUCCCGGUCCUUCCACCUCUUCCCAGUACCACCAGUGGAAGAGGAAGAGAGGGACAUGCGGACAGUAUGGAGAAGAGCACUCAUCAUCUGGAUCUCCAAGCCCCUGCAAAUGGAGAAGAGGACGGAUCAUCAGCGAGGUGAAGGCUCCCUUCCUGCAGCGGAAGGAGUGGGUGGCUUUUU
Pseudophryne corroboree (corroboree frog) is the source of this 276-nucleotide long non-coding RNA. RefSeq lists it as uncharacterized. Lineage: Eukaryota; Metazoa; Chordata; Amphibia; Anura; Myobatrachidae. The record is from RefSeq and is a predicted model, not a curated record. The transcript has 3 exons.